Molecule: long non-coding RNA, 1222 nt
Filed under: Homo sapiens (human)
Lineage: Eukaryota; Metazoa; Chordata; Mammalia; Primates; Hominidae
Description: HSALNT0180039
Source: RNAcentral
GACGUCACAAGGUAGCGCGUAACGGGGCCCGCUGGGGCAGACAACGCCGGGGUUACAGGCCGGCUCUGCGGGGAUUCUACGGAGGGUCGGGCCUCCUCCAGUAAGAAGCGUGGGCGAGUAGUGGUGUCGCCAGUGGCAACUGAAGGGAGUAAUGGAGAUAAAACAAAAGCGAAGGCGAAGUUAAAGCACUCCACGAGUUCCCUCGGAUUAAACGCCGGAGAGAGCGUGAAUUUGCCUCGGGGACGCCUCUCCAGGAAUGUCGGAUUGCACAUCCUAUUGUAAAAUGUACUUACUGCAGAUCAGAAUUUCAACAAGAGAGCAAAACUAACACAAUUUGUAAGAAGUGUGCUCAAAAUGUGAAGCAAUUUGGGACGCCCAAGCCUUGUCAGUACUGUAACAUAAUUGCAGCAUUUAUUGGUACCAAGUGUCAGCGUUGCACAAAUUCAGAAAAAAAGUAUGGACCACCUCAGACCUGUGAACAGUGCAAACAGCAAUGUGCUUUUGAUCGGAAGGAGGAAGGAAGAAGAAAGGUUGAUGGAAAGUUAUUAUGCUGGCUCUGUACUUUAUCGUACAAAAGAGUUUUACAGAAGACGAAAGAACAAAGGAAGAGCCUGGGAUCUUCACAUUCAAAUUCAUCUUCUUCAUCUCUUACUGAGAAAGACCAGCAUCAUCCAAAACAUCAUCACCACCAUCAUCACCAUCACCAUCGUCACAGCAGUAGCCAUCACAAAAUCAGCAAUCUAAGUCCAGAAGAAGAGCAGGGACUGUGGAAACAGAGCCAUAAAUCCUCUGCAACAAUUCAGAAUGAAACUCCAAAGAAAAAGCCCAAAUUGGAAUCUAAGCCAUCUAAUGGAGAUAGUAGCUCUAUAAAUCAGUCAGCAGAUAGUGGGGGAACAGACAAUUUUGUCCUUAUAAGUCAAUUGAAAGAAGAAGUGAUGUCACUUAAGCGUCUCUUACAGCAGAGAGACCAGACCAUUUUAGAAAAAGAUAAAAAGUUAACUGAACUAAAGGCAGACUUUCAGUACCAAGAGUCAAAUUUGAGAACAAAAAUGAACAGUAUGGAAAAAGCCCACAAAGAAACUGUGGAACAACUUCAGGCCAAAAACAGAGAACUACUCAAACAGGUCGCAGCAUUAUCAAAGGGUAAAAAAUUUGACAAAAGUGGAAGCAUACUAACAUCUCCUUGAGAAAGUCAUUUGUUUAGCAUUUCUUCUUACAAUGU